AGGCGAGGGUGCUAAUUGUUAGGAUUUGGUUAGACUUGUAGUUGAAUCCUAAUUGGAUUAGGAUUAAUAUUUAAAUCUGUUGGAGAUAAAUUAAGUUAAAUAUUAAUUAGAAUAUAAAUCUAAUUGGAUUAGGACUAGGGUAGCUUUCGAUGUAAGCUAUAAAUAUAGCAUAUGUGCUAUUAUUGUGGUGGUGGUGGUACGUAUUAGCCACACCCAUAUGGCAUGGCCAAGGUGGUCAUGAUUUUGGAAGCACCUAGCUAAUGCAUGGGUGCAAGAGGACGUGAGCGGCUUUCAUAGCCGUUGGUCAUUGAUAUACCUUGUGCACAGAUGCACAGGAUAUGAGAUAUGUCUUCUGAGACUAUAGAAGAGAGAAGGAUAGGAGAGAUUCAGAAGAGGGCUCGGGGUUGUAGCUACUCUGUUACAAAAGUGGAGUAAGCUUUUGCUGAGGAGACGGGUUUAUGGUAAAAAUUCGAUUCGACACUUUCAUUGUGGAAUCCCAACAAUCAGUACCAGAUCAACAGUAGUCAGUAUCGAAGCGGGUUGCGGAUUCUCAAAAUUCGGUAUCGGUAGAGAUUCAAAAAGAGGGCUCGGGGUUGUAGCUACUCUGUUACAGAAGAUGAGUCAACUUUUGCUGAGGAGACGGGUUUAUGGUAAAAACCCAAUUCGACGCUUCCAUUGCGGAAUCCCAACAAUUGGUACCGGAUCAACAGCAGUCGGUAUCGAAGCGGGCUGCGGAUUCUCAAAAUUCGGUACCGGGGGGAGUACC
This 766-nucleotide long non-coding RNA is filed under the name Ananas comosus (pineapple). RNAcentral describes it as "long non-coding RNA (ACOM_LNC013824)". Lineage: Eukaryota; Viridiplantae; Streptophyta; Magnoliopsida; Poales; Bromeliaceae. The record is from RNAcentral.